CUUAGUCAUACAUUUAGCCUCUCCAGCACCCAGCAGCAAGGCAGGAGCUGUUCAAAUGGAGAAUAAUUGGCAGAAGACCAAACAGAAACAGUCUUACUCUAAAACCCUAGAGGACUUGUGCCUUCGGAUCCUGAUUUAUUAAGUGAGAAGUCCACUAUCCUGAAGCUGCUAUGCUGGAGAGACCAUGUGAAAAGAUCAUAUAGAAGUAGAAAGAUGCCCAAGAAGCCAUAUAUGCUUCUUUCUGUAGCUGUUUCAGUCUGCCCACCCAGGGAUCGGACAUGUUAGAGAAAGAGUCUUAAAGAUUAUCCCAACCCCAGCCACCAUGUGACUGCAACCUCAUGAAAACCCCACACCAGAACAGUGGUAUCAGCUCAAACUUUGCAAGGGCUAGGAGACUGAGGGCAGCUGACCAGAUUUAUGUGAUUGAGCCUAAUAAACUGGCCUGAGUAAGCUUCCCUGGUUGACAAUAUUCUGCGAGUAUUAUCACACACUGGAUGUCAGGAAAUUAACACUGUCCACAACUCAUGGAAAGGACAACUGGGAGUUCUGUGUUUAGAGCUUUCCUGAACUCUGCCCUAUGUACCCCUUCCCUUGGCUGAUUUUAACCUGUAUUCUUAGCUGCAAUAAACCGUAACUUUCCAUGAGCACUGUGAGUUUGUCUUGUGAAUUAUUAAACUCACGGGUGGUCUUGGGGUCCCCCCAAGCUGACAAUUAAUGUCAGAGAGGAGGAGGAUAUUGGGGGACCCCAACCUUGCAAUCGGUGUCAGAAGUGAGGGUG
RNAcentral lists this long non-coding RNA (778 nucleotides) under Homo sapiens (human). RNAcentral describes it as "HSALNT0016393". The record is from RNAcentral. Lineage: Eukaryota; Metazoa; Chordata; Mammalia; Primates; Hominidae.